RNAcentral lists this ribosomal RNA (492 nucleotides) under uncultured bacterium. Its description in RNAcentral is "partial 16S ribosomal RNA". It matches the Rfam family "Bacterial small subunit ribosomal RNA", at positions 29 to 507 of the family's 1533-position model. The record is from RNAcentral.
AGUGAACGCUGGCGGUAGGCCUAAUACAUGCAAGUCGAACGGCAGCACAGUAAGAGCUUGCUCUUACGGGUGGCGAGUGGCGGAUGGGUGAGGCAUACAUCGGAAUCUACUUUUUCGUGGGGGAUAACGUAGGGCAACUUAUGCUAAUACCGCAUAUGAUCUACGGGUGAAAGCAGGGGAUCUUCGGACCUUGCGCGACUCAAUGAGACGAUGUCGGAUUAGCUAGUUGGCAGGGUAAAGGCCCACCAAGGCAACGAUCCGUAGCCGGUCUGAGGGGAUGAUUCGCCCAAACGGAAACUAGAACACGUCCCGAACUCCAAGGGAGGCAGGAGGUGGGAAAAUUGCACAAUGGGCGCAAGCCUGACCCAGCCAUACCGCGUGAGUGAAGAAGGCCUUCGGGUUGUAAAGCCCUGUUGUUGGGAAAGAAAAUCAGCAGAUUAAUACCCCGCUGUUCUGACGGUACCCAAAGAAUAAGCACCGGCUAACUUCGUG